GACGAACGCUGGCGGCGUGCUUAACACAUGCAAGUCGAACGGAAAGGCCCUGCUUUUGUGGGGUGCUCGAGUGGCGAACGGGUGAGUAACACGUGAGUAACCUGCCCUUGACCUUGGGAUAACUUCAGGAAACUGGGGCUAAUACCGGAUAGGAGCUCCUGCUGCAUGGUGGGGGUUGGAAAGUUUCGGCGGUUGGGGAUGGACUCGCGGCUUAUCAGCUUGUUGGUGGGGUAGUGGCUUACCAAGGCUUUGACGGGUAGCCGGCCUGAGAGGGUGACCGGCCCCAUUGGGACUGAGAUACGGCCCAGACUCCUACGGGAGGCAGCAGUGGGGCAUAUUGCACAAUGGGCGGAAGCCUGAUGCAGCAACGCCGCGUGCGGGAUGACGGCCUUCGGGUUGUAAACCGCUUUCGCCUGUGACGAAGCGUGAGUGACGGUCAUGGGUAAAGAAGCACCGGCUAACUACG
This 466-nucleotide ribosomal RNA is filed under the name uncultured bacterium. RNAcentral describes it as "partial 16S ribosomal RNA". It matches the Rfam family "Bacterial small subunit ribosomal RNA", at positions 28 to 505 of the family's 1533-position model. The record is from RNAcentral.